RNAcentral lists this transfer RNA (73 nucleotides) under Canis lupus familiaris (dog). It matches the Rfam family "tRNA". Rfam says of the family: Transfer RNA (tRNA) molecules are approximately 80 nucleotides in length. Lineage: Eukaryota; Metazoa; Chordata; Mammalia; Carnivora; Canidae. The record is from Rfam by way of RNAcentral. RNAcentral also lists the same sequence under 3 other names.
ACCUGGCUGGCUCAGUUGGUAGAGCAUUUGACUCUUAAUCUCAGGGUCGUGAGUUCAAGCCCCACAUUGGGUG